UACGGGGGGGGCAAGCGUUGUUCGGAAUUACUGGGCGUAAAGGGUUUGUAGGUGGCCUGCUAAGUCAGACGUGAAAUCCCUCAGCUUAACUGGGGAACUGCGUCUGAGACUGGUAGGCUCGAGGACAGGAGAGGAACGCGGAAUUCCAGGUGUAGCGGUGAAAUGCGUAGAUAUCUGGAGGAACACCGGUGGCGAAGGCGGCAUCCUGGACCGGCAUUGACGCUAAAGCGCGAAAGCCAGGGGAGCAAACGGG
This 253-nucleotide ribosomal RNA is filed under the name uncultured bacterium. RNAcentral describes it as "partial 16S ribosomal RNA". It matches the Rfam family "Bacterial small subunit ribosomal RNA", at positions 524 to 776 of the family's 1533-position model. The record is from RNAcentral.